ACUGAACGCUGGCGGCGUGCCUAACACAUGCAAGUCGAGCGGUAACAGGUGUAGCAAUACAUGCUGACGAGCGGCGGACGGGUGAGUAACGCUUGGGAAUCUGCCUAUUAGUGGGGGACAACCCGGGGAAACUCGGGCUAAUACCGCAUACGCUCUACGGAGGAAAGCCGGGGACCGCAAGGCCUGGCGCUAAUAGAUGAGCCCAAGUCGGAUUAGCUAGUUGGUAGGGUAAUGGCCUACCAAGGCGACGAUCCGUAACUGGUCUGAGAGGACGACCAGUCACACCGGAACUGAGACACAGUCCGGACUCCUACGGGAGGCAGCAGUGGGGAAUAUUGGACAAUGGGCGAAAGCCUGAUCCAGCGACGCCGCGUGGGUGAAGAAGGCCUGCGGGUU
This 396-nucleotide ribosomal RNA is filed under the name uncultured bacterium. Its description in RNAcentral is "bacterial SSU rRNA". It matches the Rfam family "Bacterial small subunit ribosomal RNA", at positions 30 to 424 of the family's 1533-position model. The record is from RNAcentral.